This 591-nucleotide ribosomal RNA is filed under the name Gardnerella vaginalis. RNAcentral's name for it is "bacterial LSU rRNA". It matches the Rfam family "Bacterial large subunit ribosomal RNA", at positions 1407 to 1882 of the family's 2925-position model. The record is from RNAcentral. Lineage: Bacteria; Bacillati; Actinomycetota; Actinomycetes; Bifidobacteriales; Bifidobacteriaceae.
AGGCGUAGUCGAAUGGAUGAACGGGUUGAUAUUCCCGUACCGGUGUUACACCGUUCGAACUGAAUCUGAGAGUACUAACCUUCGUUAUUCUGGUUGAUUAUCUUUCGGGGUUUUCUUCUGGUUUAGUGUUGGGACUGUAUCGGUAGUAGGUUAGCGUGGGAGUGACGCGGGUAGGUAGCCGGCUGCGGAGGUGGUUUUCCGUGGCUAAGCGUGUGGGCUGUCCUCUAGGUAAAUCCGGGGGAUGUUUAAGCUGAGGCGUGAUGGGUAGGCUGUAAGGCUGAUUCCGGUGAUCCUGCUUGCCGAGAAAAGCUUCAACGUGAGGUGUGAUUCCGCUCGUACCCUAAACCGACACUGGUGGUCUGGUAGAGUAUACCGAAGCGAUCGGGCGAAUCCUGGCCAAGGAACUCGGCAAAUUACUCCCGUGCCUUCGGCAUAAGGGAGACCCCUGAUGGUGAUAUGGUUUCACAUUGUUGAGCUGUUGGGGGUGGCACAAGCUAGGGGGUAGCGACUGUUUACCAAAAACACAGGAGCGUGCGAAGGCGUAAGCCGCUGUAUACGCUCUGACGCCUGCCCGGUGCCGGAAGGUUAAGA